This 190-nucleotide ribosomal RNA is filed under the name uncultured marine bacterium ST1. RNAcentral describes it as "partial 16S rRNA". It matches the Rfam family "Bacterial small subunit ribosomal RNA", at positions 338 to 525 of the family's 1533-position model. The record is from RNAcentral.
CCUACGGGAGGCAGCAGUGAGGAAUAUUGGUCAAUGGAGGCAACUCUGAACCAGCCAUGCCGCGUGAAGGAUGACGGCCCUAUGGGUUGUAAACUUCUUUUAUAGAGGAAGAAACUUGUCUACGUGUAGACAACUGACGGUACUCUACGAAUAAGGAUCGGCUAACUCCGUGCCAGCAGCCGCGGUAAUA